Molecule: non-coding RNA, 135 nt
Organism: Xenopus laevis (African clawed frog)
Lineage: Eukaryota; Metazoa; Chordata; Amphibia; Anura; Pipidae
Source: Rfam
CCUCCAUUUCUUGGCAUGUUGGGUGUUGCUGUGUACCCCUACAUGUAAUGUACAGAGGCAGAUUAUGAUCCCGGUGCUAUGUCUUCGGUGCCAGUCCCUCUUGGGCUGGUUCUAUCCUCAAUCACUGGGACACUU